GGCUGGCUGCUCCAGUACCACACUGGUACCUCCAGAAGCUACAAGCCUAGACUAAGUAAAUGACCUUCUCAGUAGAGCAGGGUCGUGUUUCCAGCAAGGGUAAAUGAAGAACUGGGCUUGUCUACAAGAGCCUCCAAAAAUAAAACCUGCAGCUGAAGCAUCUUAGAGGGGACAAGGAUAAUGCAGAACUGGACCCAGAUCAAGAACAGUGGCCCCACAGCUGCUGUGUCC
This 231-nucleotide small RNA is filed under the name Aotus nancymaae (Ma's night monkey). Its description in RNAcentral is "7SK RNA (ENSANAG00000000859.1)". Lineage: Eukaryota; Metazoa; Chordata; Mammalia; Primates; Aotidae. The record is from RNAcentral.